RNAcentral lists this ribosomal RNA (437 nucleotides) under uncultured bacterium. Its description in RNAcentral is "partial 16S ribosomal RNA". It matches the Rfam family "Bacterial small subunit ribosomal RNA", at positions 29 to 507 of the family's 1533-position model. The record is from RNAcentral.
AGCGAACGCUGGCGGCAGGCUUAACACAUGCCAGUCGAGCGGGCAUCCUUGUGGUGUCAGCGGCAGACGGGUGAGUAACGCGUGGGAACGUGCCCUUCGGUUCGGAAUAACUCAGGGAAACUUGAGCUAAUACCGGAUACGUUCGAGAGCAGAAAGGUUUAUCUGCCGAAGGAUCGGCCCGCGUCUGAUUAGCUAGUUGGUGAGGUUACGGCUCACCAAGGCGACGAUCAGUAGCUGGUCUGAGAGGAUGAUCAGCCACACUGGGAAUGAGACACGGCCCAGACUCCUACGGGAGGCAGCAGUGGGGAACAUUGGACAAUGGGGGCAACCCUGAUCCAGCCAUGCCGCGUGAGUGAUGACGGCCUUAGGGUUGUAAAGCUCUUUUCUCCGGGACGAUAAUGACGGUACCGGAGGAAUAAGCCCCGGCUAACUUCGUG